This 433-nucleotide ribosomal RNA is filed under the name uncultured bacterium. RNAcentral describes it as "partial 16S ribosomal RNA". It matches the Rfam family "Bacterial small subunit ribosomal RNA", at positions 29 to 507 of the family's 1533-position model. The record is from RNAcentral.
AACGAACGCCGGCGGCAUGCCUAACACAUGCAAGUCGAACGAGACCUUCGGGUCUAGUGGCGCACGGGUGCGUAACGCGUGGGAACCUGCCCUUAGGUUCGGAAUAACUCCCCGAAAGGGGUGCUAAUACCGGAUAAUGUCUUCGGACCAAAGAUUUAUCGCCUUUGGAUGGGCCCGCGUUGGAUUAGCUAGUUGGUAGGGUAAAAGCCUACCAAGGCGACGAUCCAUAGCUGGUCUGAGAGGAUGAUCAGCCACACUGGGACUGAGACACGGCCCAGACUCCUACGGGAGGCAGCAGUGGGGAAUAUUGGACAAUGGGCGAAAGACUGAUCCAGCAAUGCCGCGUGAGUGAUGAAGGCCUUAGGGUUGUAAAGCUCUUUUACCCGGGAUGAUAAUGACAGUACCGGGAGAAUAAGCUCCGGCUAACUCCGUG